AGAACGAACGCUGGCGGCAGGCCUAACACAUGCAAGUCGAACGCCCCGCAAGGGGAGUGGCAGACGGGUGAGUAACGCGUGGGAACGUACCUUUCGGUUCGGAAUAACCCGGGGAAACUCGGGCUAAUACCGGAUACGUCCGCAAAGGAGAAAGAUUUAUCGCCGAAAGAUCGGCCCGCGUCGGAUUAGCUAGUUGGUGAGGUAACGGCCCACAAGGCGACGAUCCGUAGCUGGUCUGAGAGGAUGAUCAGCCACACUGGGACUGAGACACGGCCCAGACUCCUACGGGAGGCAGCAGUGGGGAAUUGUUCGCAAUGGGCGCAAGCCUGACGACGCAACGCCGCGUGGAGGAUGAAGACCUUCGGGUCGUAAACUCCUUUCGAUCGAGACGAAUGGCCUCCGGGUGAACAAUCCGGAGGAGUGACGGUACCGAGAGAAGAAGCCCGGCUAACUCCGUGCCAGCAGCCGC
Molecule: ribosomal RNA, 469 nt
Filed under: uncultured bacterium
Lineage: Bacteria
Description: SSU rRNA
Rfam family: Bacterial small subunit ribosomal RNA
Source: RNAcentral